GGGAGGGUAAAGAAGAGAGCCAAGCUAAUUGAAAACAGGACACCCCAGUAAGGAAGUUGCAGCUGUCUCCCAAAGCCUUCACAAGCAAGCAUAGCAAGUCCAACUAUGACGAUCAACACUGUAUAGAACCACCACUGAGCAACUCCAAGAGGAGAACGUUAAAACUUAUGCUUGGACUCUCUGAAAUGGUUGGCGGGAAGAAAACGGCAUGACUUCUCAUUUGUAAUCAAAGCAGAAGCAGCUGAGGUUAACCGGCAUCACAAGAGGAAUUAUUAGUUGUUAAUUGUUAAUUAUAUCUACACUUAUUUUAUGAACCAUCUGGUAUGAGACGGCUAAAGAAGGGAUCUUUUCAUCUUACCUCAACUCUUAGCUUAAUCUAUACAUAUUUGAUGAAACACUGUUUCAUAUACAAUAAUGAAACUUAGGCCCUAAUUUUAUCA
This is a long non-coding RNA of Manihot esculenta (cassava), 440 nucleotides long. RefSeq lists it as uncharacterized. The transcript is spliced from 2 exons. The record is from RefSeq and is a predicted model, not a curated record. Lineage: Eukaryota; Viridiplantae; Streptophyta; Magnoliopsida; Malpighiales; Euphorbiaceae.